AGGAGAUGAAGAGGGUGGACAAAAAUCAGCAAUAGGCCACCAAAAGGAACAAAACCAGAAGGAGAGAGAGAGAACAGCGGUCUCUUCGGGCCUCUGUCAGGCAUCGUAUAUCAUCUUUAACGAGAUGGAUUGUGUUUCAGUAGAUUAGGCAUUUCCUGUUGCUGAUGGUGAAUGUAAAUCAUGUACACAGUUCUCUGAUACAGAAACAAACUGUAUUCUUAAAGUUAUAUCCAGUAUAACAAAAAGUCAUUUAUAUGGACCAUCUAUGAUAGUGUUCCCUUCUCUGUGAUGUGUAGCGCCUGCUAGGAAUGAGCCUCUCUUUGGCAGCUUUGAAAUGUGAAUAAAUGUAUUCUGUUUGUGAGAAAAGAACGUGUGCAAAAUAACACUUUAAGACUAAGCUGAGUUUGUUUUGUUUUUAUAUACGUAUAUAUCUACGACAGAGUUCCUAAUUUUUGUAUCAGCACUCUAAUUGUACUCUGUGUUUUUCUAUUGCAAAUAAAGUCCAAAUGCAAACAAAAA
This is a non-coding RNA of Neolamprologus brichardi, 519 nucleotides long. NCBI's taxonomy places the organism in Eukaryota, Metazoa, Chordata, Actinopteri, Cichliformes, Cichlidae. The record is from RefSeq and is a predicted model, not a curated record.